RNAcentral lists this ribosomal RNA (253 nucleotides) under uncultured bacterium. Its description in RNAcentral is "partial 16S ribosomal RNA". It matches the Rfam family "Bacterial small subunit ribosomal RNA", at positions 524 to 776 of the family's 1533-position model. The record is from RNAcentral.
UACGAAGGGUGCAAGCGUUACUCGGAAUUACUGGGCGUAAAGCGUGCGCAGGCGGUUCGUUGUGUCUGAUGUGAAAGCCCCGGGCUCAACCUGGGAACGGCAUUGGAAACUGGCGAGCUAGAGUGUGGCAGAGGGGGGUGGAAUUCCGCGUGUAGCAGUGAGAUGCGUAGAGAUGCGGAGGAACACCGAUGGCGAAGGCAGCCCCCUGGGCUGACACUGACGCUCAGGCACGAAAGCGUGGGGAGCAAACAGG